This is a long non-coding RNA of Hemicordylus capensis (graceful crag lizard), 880 nucleotides long. RefSeq lists it as uncharacterized. The transcript has 3 exons. Lineage: Eukaryota; Metazoa; Chordata; Lepidosauria; Squamata; Cordylidae. The record is from RefSeq and is a predicted model, not a curated record.
UUAGGGGGCUUCAGCUUGGCCUAUCAGCGCCGGCAACCUCCAGCUCCUCGCAGGAAUAGCAGCAACAGUUGACCGGGCCCUUCCUCACUGCCACUGCCUUGGAUGCUCGUCCCCCGCAGGAAGCUGACAAGUUUGGGGUAAGGGGGAUGGAGCAAAAGGAUGGAGAAGCAACCAAGAGGGGUGAGGGGAUGUGGGAUGGAGGAGUAGUAGAAGCAGGAGCACAGCUGAGAUAUUUUGGAGGACCAUAAGUAAAAGAGGAUCGGGGGAGCAAUUUUACAGCAGAGAAAACCAAACAUAUCAAUGAGCAAAAGCAAACACUGGAACUGAUGGAAUGAUGAUGUUGUCAUUUGCACUGAUGAAACAAUUAGAACAGCAUAACCACAAAAGAAGCAAUGCUGAGACCAGCAUCAUGGCCUUGCGUAACAAACUAGCUGGAACAUCUAUAUCAGUCAGAAAGGCAACUGUCAUGUUAUUACAGCCUUGAAGGAAUGUCACUUUAAAAUAAAUGAUCUGCUUUGUCACAAGCAACACUAUGGAGGUAAAGAAAAAUACAACACCCAAUCUAAUUCAGAAAAAGCAGGGGGGAAAAUCUCCUGAUGCAGAGACAAGUCACAAAAGAAGCUUUCCCUGCUUUAUUUUUGUGUGUUUCAAGCUGUUAUUGAAAGCACAAGAGCAGGGCCAGUAGAAAAGGUGGCAGUCCUAAGGUCAGUUCAGCUACUCGGAUAAAUGCUUUUCUGUACAUGAUGCAUAAUGAAACUAGCCAAAAUGGAAAGGGAGAGAUAAAAAAUUUCAUUGCUGUUAUUUCUCCAUUAAAGAGGUGAUUCCAUCUUUUGGAUUAUAGUACUUUGCCUCUGAUGCUUUUGUGUUACUUUUGUAUAAA